Molecule: non-coding RNA, 566 nt
Organism: Arachis ipaensis
Lineage: Eukaryota; Viridiplantae; Streptophyta; Magnoliopsida; Fabales; Fabaceae
Source: RefSeq, a predicted model, not a curated record
GCGCCAUCAGCUUCAUCCAUCUUUAUUGCUCAGCUUCAUCUUCUCGAACCCAGCCAUCUUCGUUCAUCCAUCUUCAUCGUUCAGCUUCAUCUUCUCGAUCAAAGGAAUGGCUUUAAUGGUAUAAAUAGGUUUGAGCAGCGAAAAAGGUUUCAGAGGAAAAAGCGUCUUUUCUGCUAAUUGGAUUCACACAUCCACAAAAAACAUCAAACUUUCUUUUACCCUUUUGCUUUCUCCCUUCAAUUAUUUGUUCCAUCAAUUCCUCUUUUGCCUAUUUAACAGCUUCUCCUUUUUUCUCUCUUGUUUUUGAAAAUGUGAUUUUGCAAGUCGCUUGAAAUGGGGAAGAAAUCUUCCGCUUCACUCAAGAAGAAACGUUCCAAGCACUCCUCUAAGUCUAAGGAAGCCAUGAGUCAGCAAAUUGAUGAAGUUGUGCCUGGGAAUGCACUUUUCCCUUCAUCCGAAUUUGAAUUGCCAAAAGGUAGAGCAAUUCAGGUUGAGGACAAUAUGAUUGAAUGCAAACCAUCAAUGGAUGUAAAGCACCCACACAAUUAGGAUUCUAGUGUCAUUAU